AACCUGGUUGAUCCUGCCAGUAGUNNNNACUUCUCNNNNNNNCCUACNCCCGUGCAUGCUCUGCAGAGUAGAAGAGCAUCUCUCUGAAUCUGCGAACGGCUCCGCAAACCAGUUGUAAACUAUAGCAAGUCCGCCUUGGUGCCGGCCGUAAGGUUGGUGCUGGGGCUACAUGGAUACCCGUGGUAAUUCUGAGGCUAAUACAUGAACGUACCCCCUGAUCAACUGGGUAACCGGGAGGUUGGGGACAGUGCGGUCAGUCGCAGAUUUUGCUGGGAAUAGACGCACUUUCAAACCACCAUACAAGCAGUUGGGGUACCGACCUUCGGGAAGGUGCCCUUUCUGGGUGGGCCUUGCUUUGUGCUUCUGACCUAUCAACUAGAUGGCAGCGUAACGGACAUGCUAUGGUUACAACGGGUACAGAGGAUAAGGGUUCGAUCCUGGAGAGUGGGCCUGAGAGAUUGCUCACACUUCUAAGGAAGGCAGCAGGCGCGUAACGUUCCCCUUGGGCAAUGCUCGAGGGCGUUAGGGGACAUAUGAAUGCCUGCCUUAUGGUGGGCAAUUCAAAUGGGUCUGUUCUAAACAGCCUCUCGAGUAACAAUUAGAGGACACCCGGGAAGCUUGAGAGA
This 626-nucleotide ribosomal RNA is filed under the name Fuligo licentii. RNAcentral's name for it is "bacterial SSU rRNA". It matches the Rfam family "Eukaryotic small subunit ribosomal RNA", at positions 1 to 598 of the family's 1831-position model. Lineage: Eukaryota; Evosea; Eumycetozoa; Physariida; Physaraceae. The record is from RNAcentral.